GAUGAACGCUGGCGGCGUGCCUAAUACAUGCAAGUCGAGCGAACAGACGAGGAUCUUGCUCCUCUGACGUUAGCGGCGGACGGGUGAGUAACACGUGGAUAACCUACCUAUAAGACUGGGAUAACUUCGGGAAACCGGAGCUAAUACCGGAUAAUAUAUUGAACCGCAUGGUUCAAUAGUGAAAGACGGUUUUGCUGUCACUUAUAGAUGGAUCCGCGCCGCAUUAGCUAGUUGGUAAGGUAACGGCUUACCAAGGCAACGAUGCGUAGCCGACCUGAGAGGGUGAUCGGCCACACUGGAACUGAGACACGGUCCAGACUCCUACGGGAGGCAGCAGUAGGGGAUCUUCCGCAAUGGGCGAAAGCCUGACGGAGCAACGCCGCGUGAGUGAUGAAGGUCUUCGGAUCGUAAAACUCUGUUAUUAGGGAAGAACAAAUGUGUAAGUAACUAUGCACGUCUUGACGGUACCUAAUCAGAAAGCCACGGCUAACUACGUG
This 497-nucleotide ribosomal RNA is filed under the name uncultured bacterium. Its description in RNAcentral is "partial 16S ribosomal RNA". It matches the Rfam family "Bacterial small subunit ribosomal RNA", at positions 28 to 507 of the family's 1533-position model. The record is from RNAcentral.